GACCAUAAGAGGAAAAGCUUUGGAAGAUUUGACAUCGUCUCCAGUUCUCUGCUCACACAGUUGAUCAGAAAAACGUUUUUCUCUUCACGAUGCAGUUUUUUGGCGCUCUGAUCCUCUUUAUGACUCUGUCUGCAGCAUGUGGAUUACGAUGCUACACAUGCACAGCAACCGACCCCUACUCCUGCACAGCCUUCACAACUUGUCCCGCGACUUCUGACCGUUGUUUCUCUCUCAGAGAAGGUGGUUAUUUCAGGGUUACCAGGGGCUGCCAAACCAGCUCAGCAUGUGAGGGUGCCAUGGUUUGCUGCACGCAGGACUUGUGUAACGGAGCCAUGUUAUUUCUUCCCAGACCCAGUCUUGUUAGUGCCAGUGUCAUAUCCACUGGCCCCAGUGUCUUCUUCCUGCUGGUAUCUUCAGCCAUCAUCACACUCUUCCCCUGAGGCUCUGGGAUUUUGUUAUUUCAGUGCACCUCUUUUCCAGCUCCAAACUGCAGAAGAAGAAUAAACAACUUCAAUAUUAAGCUGCUUUUACAUUAACAUCUAAAGUCAGAUUUUUUUGAGUGUGGCCCUGAUUAUCUGGUGCAAAAAAUAUCAUCUGCUUAAUUAGCAAUUUUGUCUUACUUGGGCUUAUGCUGAGCUCGUAUGUUUUGACACUAUUUUACUUCUCUUUUACUCUGUAUCUCUGAAGAUUCAAGAUAAAUAAUAAUUGUAUUUCAAAUCUCGUAAAUGUUUUGGCUUGCAUGACUAUGUAAUCUCAAUUUUAUUUUGGGAAUAAAAAUAUUUCACGGUUUA
Molecule: long non-coding RNA, 791 nt
Organism: Epinephelus fuscoguttatus (brown-marbled grouper)
Lineage: Eukaryota; Metazoa; Chordata; Actinopteri; Perciformes; Serranidae
Exons: 3
Source: RefSeq, a predicted model, not a curated record